GGUAUCUUCGGGAUGGGGGCGUGGGGAAUAGGAAGGGGGACAGUGUGGUGCGGAACUGCAGUGCGGAAAGCGUGUGCAUGCGGCGUCUCAAGGCAGGGGUGAAAGCCCAGAGGUCAACUGGGGAAUUGCCGUUGAGGCUGGGGGACUUUGGAACGGGAGAGGUGAGGGGAAUUCCCAGUGUAGAGGUGAAAUUCGUAGAUAUUGGGAAGAACACCGGUGGCGAAGGCGGCUCACUGGCCCGUAACUGACGCUCAUGCACGACAGCGUGGGGAUCAAACAGGAUUAGAUACCCGUGUAGUC
Molecule: ribosomal RNA, 300 nt
Filed under: uncultured Thermovibrio sp.
Lineage: Bacteria; Pseudomonadati; Aquificota; Aquificia; Desulfurobacteriales; Desulfurobacteriaceae
Description: partial 16S ribosomal RNA
Rfam family: Bacterial small subunit ribosomal RNA (bases 52-300)
Source: RNAcentral